UAGGGAAUCUUCGGCAAUGGACGAAAGUCUGACCGAGCAACGCCGCGUGAGUGAAGAAGGUUUUCGGAUCGUAAAACUCUGUUGUUAGAGAAGAACAAGGACGUUAGUAACUGAACGUCCCCUGACGGUAUCUAACCAGAAAGCCACGGCUAACUACGUGCCAGCAGCCGCGGUAAUACGUAGGUGGCAAGCGUUGUCCGGAUUUAUUGGGCGUAAAGCGAGCGCAGGCGGUUUCUUAAGUCUGAUGUGAUAGCCCCCGGCUCAACCGGGGAGGGUCAUUGGAAACUGUGAGACUUGAGUGCAGAAGAGGAGAGUGGAAGUCCAUGUGUAGCGGUGAAAUGCGUAGAUAUAUGGAGGAACACCAGUGGCGAAGGCGGCUCUCUGGUCUGUAACUGACGCUGAGGCUAGAAAGCGUGGGGAGCAAACAGG
This 429-nucleotide ribosomal RNA is filed under the name Gemmatimonadota bacterium. RNAcentral's name for it is "Gemmatimonadetes bacterium partial 16S ribosomal RNA". It matches the Rfam family "Bacterial small subunit ribosomal RNA", at positions 355 to 776 of the family's 1533-position model. Lineage: Bacteria; Pseudomonadati; Gemmatimonadota. The record is from RNAcentral.